Pestalotiopsis sp. NC0098 is the source of this 91-nucleotide non-coding RNA. NCBI's taxonomy places the organism in Eukaryota, Fungi, Ascomycota, Sordariomycetes, Amphisphaeriales, Sporocadaceae. The record is from the annotation of a GenBank genome assembly.
GUUCGUGUAGUGUAGUGGUUAUCACGCUUGUCUCACAUCCUCACGGUUGUUGGUACACAAGAGGCCCCCGGUUCGAGCCCGGGCAUGAACA